GAGAGGGGGGGGGAGAAGAUUUCCAUUUGAUUGAAUUUUAUCGUAAAUCAUCAGUGGUACCGUUUUUUCUGUAUUGGUUAGUGGCUAUGACAUAUUUUCCUUGAUAGGUUGCCAUCAAAGUAUACAUCACUUCUAACUAUAUUUUGCAUAGAAGCUUAUGCACUAGUGUUUUAUAAGAUCUAAUGAAAUUAAGUAAUAGUUGGUGAUGUCUACAAGUUGCGAAAAAUGAAUGGCUUUUUGCUUUU
This 245-nucleotide unclassified non-coding RNA is filed under the name Hevea brasiliensis (rubber tree). Lineage: Eukaryota; Viridiplantae; Streptophyta; Magnoliopsida; Malpighiales; Euphorbiaceae. The record is from RNAcentral.